UUCCCGGGCCCUGUACACACCGCCCGUCACACCACGAAAGUUGGCAAUACCCGAAGCCGGUGGCCUAACCCGCAAGGGAGGGAGCCGUCGAAGGUAGGGUCGAUGAUUGGGGUG
Molecule: ribosomal RNA, 114 nt
Filed under: uncultured bacterium
Lineage: Bacteria
Description: partial 16S ribosomal RNA
Rfam family: Bacterial small subunit ribosomal RNA
Source: RNAcentral